Non-coding RNA from Charadrius vociferus (killdeer), 375 nucleotides. Lineage: Eukaryota; Metazoa; Chordata; Aves; Charadriiformes; Charadriidae. The record is from the annotation of a RefSeq genome assembly.
AUGCUGAUCGUUUUGCUUGCUGUUUUACAUGGUGCUGGGGUUGGAAGCCUCAUCACGCAGUGGCCAGAAGAAACCCUUAGGAAAGCUGGAGAGACUGUUGACAUCUCCUGCUUCCAGAAUUAUACCACACUUACCUAUACAUUGUGGUACCAGCAGACUCCAAGAAAUGGUCUGAAGUUAGUAGCCAGUACUUCUACAUGGAUGCAGAACUCUUACGAAGAGUUCCACAUAGGCCAAGAGUUUCACGAGGCCAAGUUUCACAUAAGCAGAGACAAUAAUGAUCAUUCUGUGAUGACAAUCAAGAAUGUGACAUCCAAUGAUGCAGUCACAUAUUUCUGUGCUGCGAGUGUUCACACGGUACAGCAAGGGGAUUGA